CAGCAGACUUGCAUCUGGGAAGCGUACAAGCUUGAACUUCAAGAUGAAGGGAAAAAACUUUGAAGACUGGAGGAGAGCGUCUGAUUUUCUCAAGGGGCUGAGUCCCAGGGGACAGAAUCUGGACAUGUUGCCACAUUGUGGUUUUCCUCCUUGAUCCUCUAUUUGCUUUCUUCAGGAGAAGAGAUGUGUGAAAACUGUGCCCCAUCUAAGAAGCACCAGCAGCCUAUUAGACAACUUGUAAAACCUGGGAUAUACUGAUUAUGCCCACUAUAAAACAUCUCACCAUCAUCACCCAAAACAAUUAGCAGGGUUCCCCAGGGCUUUGUGUUUUUCAGGUUCUUCACACCAUCCCAAAUUCUUUCACUGAGUCAACACUUGUAUGAGAAAGGACAUGAUUUAUUAUUUCCCUGUUUUCUAAGUUUACUCAUGUAGUGAAGAACUUCCUACAGACAGAGAAACACAGUAGGCACUAUUGAGAAAGGAGGAAGGGCAAGCAUUGCUAAUCACCUACUGUAUGUCAGGGGCUUUGCUUUUGUUCUCCCUUCAGUUAAAAUAUAAGUGAGCAAGCAAAGAGACCUAUGG
RNAcentral lists this long non-coding RNA (582 nucleotides) under Ictidomys tridecemlineatus (thirteen-lined ground squirrel). RNAcentral's name for it is "lncRNA (ENSSTOG00000031709.1)". Lineage: Eukaryota; Metazoa; Chordata; Mammalia; Rodentia; Sciuridae. The record is from RNAcentral.